GCAGUCGGUUGUUUCGUCGCCGUUUGUUGCAAACAAGCGGAGGAAAGUCCGGACAACACAGAGCAUUGCGCUUCCUAACGGGAAGAUAUCUGCAAAGAUAUGGUAACAAAGAAGAAAAUAACCGCCUUUUGUGAUUUUUUUUCGCAAAAGGUAAGGGUGAGAAAGCGAGGUAAGAUCCGCUCCGCUCGGAGGUGACUUCGACCGGGUUUGUCCCGCAAGUUGCAAUCUCAUGUAUAUCAACAAUUAGGGUUGCUCGUCCGAUGUUGAGGGGUAGAGAGCUAAAGUUGUCGUGUGAACGCCAACGAAGAUAAAUGACGAAAAUUUGCUUGGCAAAUACAGAAUCCGGCUUACAAACCGACUGUUUUU
RNAcentral lists this RNase P RNA (366 nucleotides) under Bacteroidia bacterium. RNAcentral's name for it is "RNase P RNA component class A". It matches the Rfam family "Bacterial RNase P class A". Rfam says of the family: Ribonuclease P (RNase P) is a ubiquitous endoribonuclease, found in archaea, bacteria and eukarya as well as chloroplasts and mitochondria. Its best characterised activity is the generation of mature 5'-ends of tRNAs by cleaving the 5'-leader elements of precursor-tRNAs. Lineage: Bacteria; Pseudomonadati; Bacteroidota; Bacteroidia. The record is from RNAcentral.